UACGUAGGCAGCAAGCGUUGUUCGGAGUUACUGGGCGUAAAGGGUGUGUAGGCGGUUCCUUAAGUUUGCUGUGAAAUCUCCCGGCUUAACCGGGAGGGUGCGGUGAAUACUGAGGGACUAGAGUACGGGAGAGGAAAGUGGGAAUUCCUGGUGUAGCGGUGAAAUGCGUAGAUAUCAGGAGGAACACCGGUGGUGUAGACGGCUUUCUGGACCGUAAACUGACGCUGAGACACGAAAGCGUGGGGUAGCAAACAGG
This 256-nucleotide ribosomal RNA is filed under the name uncultured bacterium. RNAcentral describes it as "partial 16S ribosomal RNA". It matches the Rfam family "Bacterial small subunit ribosomal RNA", at positions 524 to 776 of the family's 1533-position model. The record is from RNAcentral.